AUUUGAACAGAAAUGAAGUUUUUAAGCGGUUCUCUGAGUGCCACUGCAAGUUUGAUGAUGGUGAAAGUGCCACACUAUGUUUUCUACCACCUGCAAUCACAUUCAACUGUCUAAAGUUUCACAGAGUGGGAUUAAUGGACCUGGAUCAUGCAGUUAUGCAGCCACUUCUACAUACAGACAGGCAGUGCGUCGCCCCAAUCGCCCUUAUGGACAAGCCGCCCCUGUCCAGAUGUACUGUUGAGUGUCGGCCCUGAAGAUGCAUCACAACACAAGUGUCCACAGAAGGGUGGGAGAGAGGAAGAAGGGCGAUGCUGCAAACGGUAGUCAAAGUCUGUAAAUGGCCCAACAAUCCUUCACAACCAAUAUGCACCUUUUUGAAGUGGGUCCAUUCCAGACUCCCAAGCAGAUGGAAUUCCGCAGGCUGAAUCCAGUCAUUACAAAGCAAUAUUUCAACCAUCAAAAAUGGAUGGAAGGAUGUCAUUCUCAGGAGUAAAUGGAUCAAUUCAAGCCCAGCUUUAAAAAACACUCACCCUGCUGCACCUCCUUUCACCCAAUAGGGAGGCAGCCAAGGCAGACAGCAUUUCAAUGAGUUCUGCAAAACACAAUGCAAGCUGUAUGAACAGUCUGUUCAACAUGUUUGUAGAAGGUCAAAUAAAAAACAGA
Molecule: long non-coding RNA, 663 nt
Organism: Clupea harengus (Atlantic herring)
Lineage: Eukaryota; Metazoa; Chordata; Actinopteri; Clupeiformes; Clupeidae
Source: Ensembl